RNAcentral lists this ribosomal RNA (253 nucleotides) under uncultured bacterium. Its description in RNAcentral is "partial 16S ribosomal RNA". It matches the Rfam family "Bacterial small subunit ribosomal RNA", at positions 524 to 776 of the family's 1533-position model. The record is from RNAcentral.
UACAGAGGCCCCAAGCGUUACUGAGAAUCACUGGGUUUAAAGGGUGCGUAGGUGGCGCGUUAAGUUCGUUGUGAAAUCCCUGGGCUCAACCCAGGAAUUGCUUCGAAUACUGGCGUGCUUGAGGCUAGUAGGGGUCACUGGAACUGACGGUGGAGCGGUGAAAUGCGUAGAUAUCGUCAGGAACGCUGAUGGUGAAGACAGGUGACUGGGCUAGUUCUGACACUGAGGCACGAAAGCGUGGGGAGCGAACGGG